RNAcentral lists this long non-coding RNA (1004 nucleotides) under Canis lupus familiaris (dog). RNAcentral describes it as "lncRNA (ENSCAFG00845026881.1)". Lineage: Eukaryota; Metazoa; Chordata; Mammalia; Carnivora; Canidae. The record is from RNAcentral.
UUUAGUUAUGAAAAAUAGCUUGAGAAUUUUGAGUUUUAAUAUCUAGGAUUAAAUUUUUGGAAGACAAAAUUUUUUUUAACUAAAACACUUGACAAUUUUAUUUUCACAUUUCACAAUACAAAUGAAAAUUGCCUUUUUUUUUUUUUUUUUUGUCUCACUACUCCCCUGCAAAAACUAUUCUCGAUAGGAAGGGGAAGCAAAUCUUCCUUGUCAUGCUGUUAGAAAACACCCAGAGUCACAGCACCAUGAUCUCCUGGUGAAGUAGAACAAGUAAUAUAAAAUGAAUAUAAAGAGGUUCCUGUCUCUCCUUAUCUGUCUGGUCGAGUCAUUCCUGGCCGAGUGGGCACCAUCAUGGGACAAGCAGGAGGUCUCAUCAUUGGGGGCCCAAGCAUCAUUGGCAUAUGGCCUCCCAUAGGUGGCCUCAUUCCAGGAGCAGGUCCCACUGGCAUCAUCCCAGGAGGAGGAGGGCCCAUCAUUGGCAUCAUGGGAGGGCCCCCCAUAUGGGGGGCUGGCAUCAUACCAGGGUGAGGAGGACCCGGGAGACUGGGGGGAGGUGGGAUCAUUGCCCCUGCAGAAGGAGGAGCAGAAAAUGGAGUAGGAGGUAUCUUUCCUUGUUGAAAUGCAGCGGAGAGUCAUGGGUGAGGUAUGUGUCGCAGUAGUCACAAUAAAACUUAGGCAUGUUACUCUGCAGGCCAUUGGCCACUCCGUCCCGCACCACCCGGAAAUGACCUGGAAGACAAAAUUUUUUUAAAAUGUCACAGUAAAUUGGUAAUGGGUAAAGAUAGUAAUGGGUGACUUAGCAAUAACACUUGAUUGUCUAUUUAAUCAUAGUGACAUAUUUAAAAAAAUAAAUAUAGACGGUAGCAUGAUUGAAGAGGACCUUAUCUCUUUCAGAAGUGAAAGUGGAGGACCUUUGUUCUUUGCCUCCCCUCUUCCCAAAUAAUCAAAGAUUCAGGUAGGAGGAGACUGUGGGGAGGUUGGGUAGGGAGAGAGAAAACCAAGAG